Pollicipes pollicipes is the source of this 358-nucleotide long non-coding RNA. RefSeq lists it as uncharacterized. NCBI's taxonomy places the organism in Eukaryota, Metazoa, Arthropoda, Thecostraca, Pollicipedomorpha, Pollicipedidae. The transcript is spliced from 3 exons. The record is from RefSeq and is a predicted model, not a curated record.
CACCGCCUGCUGCUGCCCGGCCAAGUGCAGCUUCGGCACCCACCGCCAUAGGCGCUGCCGGCGGCUCGCCGAGCGUGAUCAAGGUGGAGCAGGUGGAUUUGAGCGAGGAGGAUGGAGAACUGGAGGCCGCGCUGGGGCACGUGGCCAGCUUCGAGGGUCACGCCGGUGGGGCGGGACAAGGCUUUGAUCCCGCCCAGGUGUCGCUGCUGGACGACUCGCUAGGAGAAGCCGGCCCGUCGUCGGCCGGCGCCGGCGGUGACAGAGCCUCACAAGCGCCGUCGGCUUCCGGCCGCCUGGGGUGCCCGCUCUGCAGCAAGACGUACGCCAGCUGGGACUCGUACCGACACCACCUGGAGAC